RNAcentral lists this long non-coding RNA (309 nucleotides) under Elaeis guineensis (African oil palm). Its description in RNAcentral is "long non-coding RNA (EGUI_LNC001770)". The record is from RNAcentral. Lineage: Eukaryota; Viridiplantae; Streptophyta; Magnoliopsida; Arecales; Arecaceae.
GUAUGUAGCCAUCCUUAGUUGGGCUUGCCUUCUUGUUUCUUCGAGCAAGUCUAAGUCGGCUCAUCGUCGAUCAGCAUUCAUCGCUUCAUUGUAGUGUUCUAUCCUUAUGGAAAGUAAAUCGAUUUCAACAGGGAUCAUUCCUUUGAUUUCAAAGGCCAAAUUAAAUGGAGUUUCUUCAGUCGGGAUUCGAGGGAUAGUUCGGUAGGACCAUAAAAUACUAUAAAGUUCAUCAGCCCAUAAUCCUUUAGCUUGAUUUAAUCUUAUCUUCUGACCAUGGAGUAUAGUCCUAUUGGUCACCUCAACUUCUCC